AUACGGAGGAUGCAAGCGUUAUCCGGAUUUAUUGGGUUUAAAGGGUGCGUAGGCGGGACUGUAAGUCAGGGGUGAAAUACUGCAGCUUAACUGUAGCAUUGCCUUUGAAACUGCCGUUCUUGAGUACAGUUGAGGUAGGCGGAAUGUGGUGUGUAGCGGUGAAAUGCAUAGAUAUACCACAGAACGCCGAUUGCGAAGGCAGCUUACUAAGCUGUUACUGACGCUGAGGCACGAAAGCGUGGGGAUCAAACAGGAUUAGAUACCCUGGUAGUCCACGCAGUAAACGAUGAUAACUAACCGUCGGCGAUAGAAUGUCGGUGGCCAAGCGAAAGCGAUAAGUUAUCCACCUGGGGAGUACGGUCGCAAGAAUGAAACUCAAAUGAAUUGACGGGG
RNAcentral lists this ribosomal RNA (393 nucleotides) under uncultured bacterium. RNAcentral's name for it is "partial 16S ribosomal RNA". It matches the Rfam family "Bacterial small subunit ribosomal RNA", at positions 523 to 918 of the family's 1533-position model. The record is from RNAcentral.